UGCGUAGGCGGCCUUAUAAGUCAGAUGUGAAAGCUCCCAGCUUAACUGGGAAAUUGCAUUUGAUACUGUAGGGCUUGAAUCACGUUGAGGUUAGCGGAAUGUGACAUGUAGCGGUGAAAUGCAUAGAUAUGUCAUAGAACACCAAUUGCGUAGGCAGCUAACUAGGCGUGUAUUGACGCUGAGGCACGAAAGCGUGGGGAGCGAACAGGAUUAGAUACCCUGGUAGUCC
This 229-nucleotide ribosomal RNA is filed under the name uncultured bacterium. RNAcentral describes it as "partial 16S ribosomal RNA". It matches the Rfam family "Bacterial small subunit ribosomal RNA", at positions 568 to 796 of the family's 1533-position model. The record is from RNAcentral.